This 492-nucleotide ribosomal RNA is filed under the name uncultured bacterium. RNAcentral describes it as "partial 16S ribosomal RNA". It matches the Rfam family "Bacterial small subunit ribosomal RNA", at positions 29 to 507 of the family's 1533-position model. The record is from RNAcentral.
AGUGAACGCUGGCGGUAGGCCUAACACAUGCAAGUCGAACGGCAGCACAGUAAGAGCUUGCUCUUACGGGUGGCGAGUGGCGGACGGGUGAGGAAUACAUCGGAAUCUACUUUUUCGUGGGGGAUAACGUAGGGAAACUUACGCUAAUACCGCAUACGACCUACGGGUGAAAGCAGGGGAUCUUCGGACCUUGCGCGAUUGAAUGAGCCGAUGUCGGAUUAGCUAGUUGGCGGGGUAAAGGCCCACCAAGGCGACGAUCCGUAGCUGGUCUGAGAGGAUGAUCAGCCACACUGGAACUGAGACACGGUCCAGACUCCUACGGGAGGCAGCAGUGGGGAAUAUUGGACAAUGGGCGCAAGCCUGAUCCAGCCAUACCGCGUGGGUGAAGAAGGCCUUCGGGUUGUAAAGCCCUUUUGUUGGGAGAGAAAAGCAGCAGGUUAAUACCCCGCUGUUCUGACGGUACCCAAAGAUUAAGCACCGGCUAACUUCGUG